RNAcentral lists this ribosomal RNA (695 nucleotides) under uncultured Thelephorales. RNAcentral describes it as "eukaryotic LSU rRNA". The stretch from base 258 to 412 matches the Rfam family "5.8S ribosomal RNA". Lineage: Eukaryota; Fungi; Basidiomycota; Agaricomycetes; Thelephorales. The record is from RNAcentral.
AGAGGAAGUAAAAGUCGUAACAAGGUUUCCGUAGGUGAACCUGCGGAAGGAUCAUUACCGAACCGUAAACACGAGUUGUUGCUGGUCCUCAAAUGGGGGCAUGUGCACGCUCUGUUCACACAUCCACUCACACCUGUGCACCUUCUGUAGUUCUAUGGCCUGGGGGACCCCGUCUUCCUUCUGUAGUUCUGCGUCUUUACACACACACUGCAAUAAAGUCUUGUGGAAUGUAUGCCGCGUCUAACGCAAUACAAUACAACUUUCAGCAACGGAUCUCUUGGCUCUCGCAUCGAUGAAGAACGCAGCGAAAUGCGAUAAGUAAUGUGAAUUGCAGAAUUCAGUGAAUCAUCGAAUCUUUGAACGCACCUUGCGCCCCUUGGUUAUUCCGAAGGGCAUGCCUGUUUGAGUAUCAUGAACACCUCAACUCUUGUGGUUUCCCCCACAACGAGCUUGGACUGUGGAGGUUUUGUUGGCCCUGUGGUCAGCUCCUCUCAAAUGGAUCAGCUUGCCGGUGUUUGGUGGCAUCAUGGGUGUGAUAACUAUCUGCGCUCGUGGUUGUCUCCAAGUAACCUCCAGUGAUGGGGGUUCGCUGGAGCUUAUAAACGUCUCUCCCCAGUGAAGACAGCAUUUGAACGUUCGAUCUCAAAUCAGGUAGGACUACCCGCUGAACUUAAGCAUAUCAAUAAGCGGAGGAA